Molecule: long non-coding RNA, 456 nt
Filed under: Phoenix dactylifera (date palm)
Lineage: Eukaryota; Viridiplantae; Streptophyta; Magnoliopsida; Arecales; Arecaceae
Description: long non-coding RNA (PDAC_LNC004728)
Source: RNAcentral
GACUCAUGCCCGGAUCCACGGGUUCAUUAAACUGUAGGCAUGCACAUGCACUGAAGCCAUUUUAAGUGUACAACCAAACCAAGGAAUCAAGCAUUUAAAGGUGUGCUGAAUGAAUGUAUUUGGAAGGGAGCGAGCAGCUAGCAGAAAGCAAACAAAACUCCCAACAGUUCACAAAGUCAUGAGUACUUGACCCUAUCACUUCCAAAUUAAAGUUGAGAACAAGUUUACACAAGGAAACCUAGGGAAUUGAAUAAAUGAAUCCAAAAAAAGUUCUCUUAGCAGUUUGAGAAGCUUUGGCGAGUGAAUUCUGAAGUAUAACAUUCUUGGUGGGAAAAAGAUGCUACAAUAAUAUUGUCUACUACCAUUCUACGAUGUGACACAGCCCUAAACAGUCUACUAGACAUCCACUUUCUAACUCCGCCAUCCAUUCAUUCUUCCUCGAAUACUCUUUCACAC